UACGGGAGGAUGCAAGCGUUAUCCGGAAUUACUGGGCGUAAAGGGCUCGUAGGCGGCCAACUAAGUCAGACGUGAAAUCCCUCAGCUUAACUGGGGAACUGCGUCUGAUACUGGAUGGCUUGGAUUCGGGAGAGGAAUGCGGAAUUCCAGGUGUAGCGGUGAAAUGCGUAGAUAUCUGGAGGAACACCGGUGGCGAAGGCGGCAUUCUGGACCGAUAUUGACGCUGAUGAGCGAAAGCCAGGGGAGCAAACGGG
RNAcentral lists this ribosomal RNA (254 nucleotides) under uncultured bacterium. RNAcentral describes it as "partial 16S ribosomal RNA". It matches the Rfam family "Bacterial small subunit ribosomal RNA", at positions 524 to 776 of the family's 1533-position model. The record is from RNAcentral.